Molecule: long non-coding RNA, 547 nt
Filed under: Felis catus (domestic cat)
Lineage: Eukaryota; Metazoa; Chordata; Mammalia; Carnivora; Felidae
Description: lncRNA (ENSFCAG00000048672.1)
Source: RNAcentral
CACCCUGCCCUGCAGCGCAUGCUGAGGUGUGGUACUCCGGCCCAAAACCCAGUCACUGAAUCAUUACCAGACCCCUCACCUGACCCAUACCUCCUGCCUUGUUCCUAGUCUUCCAACUCACCUGCCAUCAACAUUUCUAUUUUCCUUCCCCAUUAUUCCUUUAUCUUGCCCUAAAAUGCUUUGCAUGUUUUUGUGUCUCUCCCUUCACCUCUAAUUAUUACUAUUUCUCUCUAUCACAGAGAAUGCAAAAGUGGACCUUUUCCCAACUUGACCCAACAUUCAGGAACCCUCUGCCCAUUUGGGUAUAUUACCUCAAGAAGGAAUGGUGUUGUAAACAGGGCUCAGACAUGUAAGCCCUUCCAGGUCCACCUUUGCCCCCAAAGUCCUGAGUGAGUUGGAUUUUCUGGGGUACGUUCAGGAAACUUACUGUGCCAGAGCACAGGCAUGUAUCUGAGUGAACUGAUUGCAUUUCAGCAGCUUCCCUGGAGCCAAGUCUUCUCACAAUUUUUUCAAUAAAAUAUUCCGGCAAUAGUCUUAUUUCUCUCCU